RNAcentral lists this ribosomal RNA (403 nucleotides) under uncultured bacterium. Its description in RNAcentral is "bacterial SSU rRNA". It matches the Rfam family "Bacterial small subunit ribosomal RNA", at positions 358 to 775 of the family's 1533-position model. The record is from RNAcentral.
GGAAUAUUGGGCAAUGGGCGCAAGCCUGACCCAGCAACGCCGCGUGAAGGAAGAAGGCUUUCGGGUUGUAAACUUCUUUUCUCAGGGACGAAGAAAGUGACAGUACCUCAGGAGGAAGCUCCGGCUAACUAUGUGCCAGCCGCCGCGGUAAUACAUAGGGAGCAAGCGUUAUCCGGAUUUAUUGGGUUUAAAGGGAGCGUAGGCGGGUUGUUAAGUCAGUUGUGAAAGUUUGCGGCUCAACCGUAAAAUUGCAGUUGAUACUGGCAUCCUUGAGUACAGUAGAGGUAGGCGGAAUUCGUGGUGUAGCGGUGAAAUGCUUAGAUAUCACGAAGAACUCCGAUUGCGAAGGCAGCCUGCUGGACUGUAACUGACGCUGAUGCUCGAAAGUGUGGGUAUCAAACAG